This 213-nucleotide ribosomal RNA is filed under the name Alphaproteobacteria bacterium. Its description in RNAcentral is "partial 23S ribosomal RNA". It matches the Rfam family "Bacterial large subunit ribosomal RNA", at positions 1 to 214 of the family's 2925-position model. Lineage: Bacteria; Pseudomonadati; Pseudomonadota; Alphaproteobacteria. The record is from RNAcentral.
GAGCGAUCAAGCGACUUAAGGGCAUUUGGUGAAUGCCUUGGUGCUGAGAGGCGAUGAAGGACGUGGUACGCUGCGAUAUGCUUCGGGGAGCUGCGAACAAGCUUUGAUCCGAAGAUUUCCGAAUGGGGAAACCCCUGGCUUCGGCCAGAUCCUCACAUGAAUACAUAGUGUGUGGAAGCAAACCCAGGGAACUGAAACAUCUAAGUACCUGGA